GCUGGUGUAGCUCAGCGGGAGAGCAGCGGUUUUGUAAACCGCUUGUCGUUGGUUCAAUCCCAACCACCAGCU
This 72-nucleotide transfer RNA is filed under the name Candidatus Uhrbacteria bacterium. RNAcentral's name for it is "tRNA-Thr". It matches the Rfam family "tRNA". Rfam says of the family: Transfer RNA (tRNA) molecules are approximately 80 nucleotides in length. Their secondary structure includes four short double-helical elements and three loops (D, anti-codon, and T loops). Lineage: Bacteria; Candidatus Uhriibacteriota. The record is from RNAcentral.